UGGGGGUGAGUGCAGCAGAUUUGGGGGUGCCCGGCAGGUGCGGGGCUGUGGGUUUGGGGCCGAUGCUGAGGGGGGCACGGGUUUUGGGGGGCUCUGGGCCCCCGGAGCUGACCCAGCCCCCGCUGUGCCCCCGGCGCAGUUCGAGCGCUGCAGCCACUUCUUCCAGAUGAAGAACAUCUCCUUCUGUGGGUGCCACCCCCGGAACAGCUGCUAUUUCGGGUUCAUCACCAAGCACCCGGUGCUGAGCCGCUUCGCCUGCCACGUGUUCGUGUCGCAGGAGUCCAUGCGACACGUGGCCGAGUGUGUCGGCCGAGCGUUUCAGGAAUAUUACCAGGAGCACCUGGAGUACGCCUGCCCCACAGAGGACAUCUACCUGGAGUAGGGUCCCUGUCCCCGCCACUCGGGGCCACCCUCGGGGACUCGGGGUCACCCCCAGGGACUCGGGGCCACCCCGGCACUCUGCGUGACCCCCAGGGACUUGGGGUCACCUCCAGGGACUCAGGGUCACCCCCAGGGACUCUGGGUCACCCCCGGGACUCAGGGUCAUCGCAGGGACUUGGGGUCACUCCCAGGGACUCUGUGUGACCCCAGGGACUCUGUGUCACCCCCGGGGCCUUGGUGUCACCCUUAGGGACUCAGUGUCACCCCAGGGACUCUGUGUGACCCCAGGGACUCUGUGUCACCCCCGGGGCCUUGGUGUCACCCUUAGGGACUCAGUGUCACCCCAGGGACUCUGUGUGACUGUAGGGACUCUGUGCGUGACCCUUGGGGACUUGGUGUCACCCCAGGGACUCUGUGUGUGACCCUUAGGGACUCAGUGUCACCCCCAGGGACUUGGGGUGA
Molecule: long non-coding RNA, 843 nt
Organism: Passer montanus (Eurasian tree sparrow)
Lineage: Eukaryota; Metazoa; Chordata; Aves; Passeriformes; Passeridae
Exons: 3
Source: RefSeq, a predicted model, not a curated record